CCACAGACGAAUAGACGGGAAACAAAGUCGGCCCUAUAAAUCAAUAAAGGAUCUGCAAACUAACUGCAUUUUGAGCCUGAGCAGGAGCUUGGUGGCCAGGUCGUGGAUGGCCUUACCCAGAAUGCACAAGGAGGACAGAAUGAAAAUCACACCCAGGAUAAUGCAGGCUCUGUAGAAGAAAAGAAAAGAAGAAAACUGUGGAACAUUUUGACAUUGCAGAGAUCCUGAUGCAACAGUGUACCCUGAUGCUGAAAACACAGAUCAAGAGCAAAAGUGGUGAAAGUGGAGCUUGCAGCUGCUACCUGCAGGGCUAAAGCCAGGGUUGUAAAAUAUAGUUCAAAAUGUCAUGAGAACAACUUCCCCCAGCACAAUCCAAACCCUCUAUGAAAUGUUCUA
Molecule: long non-coding RNA, 396 nt
Organism: Xiphias gladius (swordfish)
Lineage: Eukaryota; Metazoa; Chordata; Actinopteri; Istiophoriformes; Xiphiidae
Exons: 3
Source: RefSeq, a predicted model, not a curated record